Molecule: long non-coding RNA, 528 nt
Organism: Osmia bicornis bicornis
Lineage: Eukaryota; Metazoa; Arthropoda; Insecta; Hymenoptera; Megachilidae
Exons: 2
Source: RefSeq, a predicted model, not a curated record
CAAAACAGGUUUCCCUGAGUUGGAUCGUUACAGUACCCCAAUACCCACUAAAAACUUGCUCCGUAUCAGCCACAGACACCUCCGGCAACCUCAAGGGGCUUUGAUGGAGAGCAUACUGUGUAGCCACGAUGUUGCUUACCCAUCGACCGACUCGGACGACCUAAAGGCGUUCAGUCGCCCGAGAACGUCGCGGAUAAACCCCAGCGCACCUCCGCUCAUGACGCAGGCUCGUUUUGGCCGACGGUGAUUUCAUUUAGCCACAGAAGGAAAUGGAUGGGAUAAGCUGAGUCGCUUGGUCAUCAGAGGCCGCAACGCACAUUUGGGCGAGCUAAGCCUCUCAAUGAGCGAAUUUCAGCCCGGGAGAGGUCGCGAAAACGCAGGAAAACUCGCGAAAUUGCGAGAGAAGGAGAACCUGAGCCGCCUGGACACCAGCGACCGCAUCACGCAUUUGGGUGAGCUAAGCCUCUCGAUGAGCGGAGUUCAGGUCUGGAUUUGGUUACGCGCACAGGGGAAUGCACGCAUGAGAGC